Molecule: unclassified non-coding RNA, 475 nt
Filed under: Hevea brasiliensis (rubber tree)
Lineage: Eukaryota; Viridiplantae; Streptophyta; Magnoliopsida; Malpighiales; Euphorbiaceae
Source: RNAcentral
UGGAAAAUGUAAAGUAACAGAAAAAUCAAGAACAUGUCAAUAGACAGAGGACAAAGUGAAAAGUUAAACAUUGAGGAUUCCACACUAAUGACGGAAAUGCAACCACAAAGCUGUGCAAAUCUCACACUUUAACCCCAAGUAAGUUUAUAUAAGAAAAUAAUAUUGCAUAAUGUAGCAGAAAAUUAAAAAGUGCUGCCCAAAUUAACACAGUUCAAGCAGACAAUAAUAUCUCAAAUUAAAUUCUCUCACACAAGCUAUUUCUAACCAGGUUUUUAAAUAUUGAGCGUUAUGUAACAUAUUAUAUUUACAUAAUGGGUCUUUAUGGGGUCAAUCAGGAUUUUAGAUAAUGGAAUAGGAAUGAAUUGGACAGAUAUGACAGCCACUAUUGUGAAUUGUUUCACAAAUUUAGCAAAAUGACUCAAAUUAACAUUUAAUGAAGAAUCUUACUAAAUACCACCAUAAACUACCACAUUUA